CUUUUAUAGUCCUUGGAUUGAACAGUUUUUGAUUUAGGUGACUUUUGCAAUCGUGACAUUACAGGAAAGACUGCUGCUGGAUGAACAAACCCAGAAGUAACGUGAUCAUGAAGGCAAUAAUGGAGCGUUCAACAACACCCGAAGGUUGUUGAGAACCCAACAAACACAGUUUUUUUCUUUUAUAGAUGAGUACAUCCUCCUUAGUCUGGGUGACAAACAACAGAUGUGGCAUGUGAGAAAGGAGUAACCGCCAGCCAGAUAGCAUUGUCUGAUGAUGGCGCCAGAGGAGAUGGCUGCCGUUUCACGGGCUCCCAACCAUUUGUGCUAUUGUGUUUUUUCGCAUUAUUUGUAACGUAUUUUGUACAUAAUGUUUCUGCCACUGUCUCUUAUGACCGAAAAGAGCUUCAGGAUAUCAGGACAGCGAUUACUCACUUCGUACUGGACAAAUACUUUUUCUUUAACAAGUCUGACGCAAAGGAUUUACUACAGACACCCGACAAGGCCCAAAUCCCAUCAGUUGCAUGAAGAAGAGACCGUUAUCGGGGAUGUAUGUCGGGGUGCCUUGUAAGGAUCCGAAGGAGAGCGAGUAAUCCCCCUCUACCAUCAGUCCUAUUAGCCAACGUGCAAUCAUUAGAUAACAAAAUGGAUGAGCUCCGAUCAAGACUAUCUUAUCAACGGGACAUUAAAAACUGUAAUAUCUUAUGUUUCACGAGUCGUGGCUGAACUACGACAUGGAUAACAUACAGCUGGCUGGGUUCUGUCCAUCUGCAAGAUAGAACAUCUGCCUCCGGAUAGUCAGACAGGAAAUGUCCAGAAGAAGGCUGAUGGGCUUUACCUCAGUGUGAAACAGAGGGAAUACUACCUCUACCGUUUGACAGACGGCAACAAGAGGAAGACAAGGCAGCCUUGACAACUGCCAUUGUUCAACUUGACGAGCAGCAGGCAGAGUUUUGGCUCCCCACAGAGGAUAAGCUGCUCAAUACUGACAACUUUGUGUGGCCAUGGGAGAGACUAGGCACCAGCAACAGCCAUCUUGCAAUCAAAAAGGCAAUCUUGGACAGACGGACGUUGCUGAACAGACUGCAGGAGGAAGAGAAGAUCCUGGUGCAGGAGAUGAAGAGGGACUGGGAGAGCCUACAAAGAGCAGUGGGAACUGGAAGCGCUGGGGGAGCCUACAAAGAGCAGUGGGAACUCUGGAGGCUUUGUCCCUGCAUCUGCAAGAUCAGAGCAAUGCAGUGGAGUUAUCAGAGAGAGGGAGGAAUGGCCUUUUCUGCCUCCUGAAGAGAAGAUUGAGUGAACCGACACAAGACCAAGACAACAGCAGGAAUACCUACCACAAGCUGAUUCUGGGAGAAGGGGCUAUUUUUGAUGACUCUGAUGAAGAUGAGAACUCAGAUGAAGAUGUAUGUCCUAUUGCUGAGAGCUCAGAUGAAGAUAGAAGUCCUAUUGCUGAGAGCUCAGAUGAAGAUAUAAGUCCUAUUGCUGAGAGCUUAGAUGACGACUGCUGUGUUUUCUGAAAUCAUACACCACCCCUGCCUCUCUCGCUCGCUCUCUCUCGCUCUCUCGCUCUCUCUCUCUCUCUCUCUCUCUCUCUUGCAGGAGAGAGAGAAGGCUGCCACCACCUCCCUCGGGAGCAGCCUAGUCUCCCGAUGUUGACCCCUGACCCCUCACCUUCUGAACCCUUCCAGGGAAAUGUAAUUUGACUGAUACGCUAGUGGAGAAGGAAUGUCUAAUUUCAGCGCAUUUGUUGCCAUGUUUCCUCUCCUCCGUUUCUUCUGGUCCUAUGGCGACUAUGGCGACAUCAGCAGCAACUCAGAAUGUUGGCUUAGGACUUCUUUACUGAGGAAUGUGGUUGUUGUUAAUGUUAUUUUGUUAUUAUAUAUAUUUUUUGUAUUUUCUAUGCUGCUCGGAUUGUGAUUUUGGUGUAAUUUUGAGUUGCAAAAUAGUCCUUGGUCUCAAUUGGACUGCUUAAAUAAAUAAAGUAAAAGUCUUAAUAAAUAAAUCAAUAACAGGUCUGUACAUAGUAUGAAUAAAUUAUUUUGAUGUAAUAAAAAGUGUAAUACAUUGCUGCCCCUUUCAGCAUUGUAAGUACAUCACCUAUCUGAAAUGUGACUUGCCAAAUCUAACAGUAGCCUAUCAAUCGUUUUUAUGUUUGACUUUAAAUCAGUUAACGGUGUAUCAAUGAAAAUCUGAUAUUGAGUGGAAUGUACUGCUGCCCAACCCUUAUACUUCAGCAGUGCAUCGUACCCUACACCAUAGUUUCAAAUGGUGGGACAUAGGGGCUAUUUCCAUGGGUCCUAUUGAAGCUCCCGAG
Molecule: long non-coding RNA, 2314 nt
Filed under: Salmo salar (Atlantic salmon)
Lineage: Eukaryota; Metazoa; Chordata; Actinopteri; Salmoniformes; Salmonidae
Description: lncRNA (ENSSSAG00000083171.1)
Source: RNAcentral